GCGUAGCCCUCACGAUCGCAUACCGCAACUGAGCAAGGCGAAGCUCUGGAGAGGAGUUGAAUCACUUGACCGGGCAGCUGUGCAGGUUGAUUCCAGUCUGGACACUCUGAAGCAAUUGCUACUGGGACUUCUGAGCUACUCAGACACAGCAGAGAUAAAGGCCAUAUAAAAAACUAGAUUUGGAUCAGUUCUACAGCUCUUUUAAGGACAAAGUCUGUCUUUCUGCAAGAUUCUUACAACUUUAUACACUUUGAGUCGUUCAGUUAAUAGAUUAUUCAGAGGGUAAAAACAGAAGAAGUCAUUGCAGGAGGUUGUGUUUGACUAGGGCUCAACCUCCGUCUCUACAUCCUAAGCCUUACAGAAAAUUUUCUCAGACUGCGAUCAGAUGCUAUGCUGAUUUAUGUUAAAGAAAAAAAGAAAAGAACUUUGAAGAGAAAGCAAAUACUCUUGGAUAGUGAAGGUAUGUUACUUAA
Molecule: long non-coding RNA, 473 nt
Organism: Dromaius novaehollandiae (emu)
Lineage: Eukaryota; Metazoa; Chordata; Aves; Casuariiformes; Dromaiidae
Exons: 5
Source: RefSeq, a predicted model, not a curated record